AGUGAGUCAAUAUGACUUAUUUAUUCCAGAGAAAAGAUGAAAAGAAAGCUUGUAAAUCAAAUAAUUAACAUAAACUUAACUUGCUAAUUCCUAACUUCCUAACCAAUAACCAUCUUCCAAAAAUAACAUCUAAUAUAUAUAAAUAGUACUGAUGUACUAGUACAGUGGUUCAACUGAUGAUUCAGUAACUAAACCAGACAUACAUGCUUAUAUUUAUAUAUAUGUAAACAUAUAACAAAAAAAUUCAAAUAGGUAGAUAUUCGAACUUAUAAUCCAUAUUCAUAAUCUACUCCAAAUAAACAAACAACCUUAAGACUUCAACAAAUUCAAAGGCUAAAGUGCAAAACAUAUAUCAAUCCAAAAGUAUCAUUUAACAAGCACAAAAUAUAAAUAAAUGACACAAGUUCACAACUUAGUCUACAAAACAUAUAAAUUUGGAGUUUUAACAUUUAACACCAAUGAGUCAAAGUUGUCUCAUGUCGAAGUUCCAUUUCUUCAUCAUUUGAGCUUGAACUUGACGCGCAUCGUCUUCAUCCAAGUUAACAUUCUCCAUGGAAAUGAUUUAUGCAUCAUUAUCAUCAUGUUCUAAGUUUAAUUGAUCUACAAAAAGAGUACAUAUUCAACAAAAUAAAUUCAGAAUGUUGUGAAACUCACAUAUUUGAUGACAUUAUUGUUGUGAAACUCACGUAAACCAUAUACCAAAUAUAUUUGGUGACAUUAUUGUUGUUGAAUCCAUGGUUCAUUUGGACAUAAAUUACUGUAAAAUAACACCCCAUCACCCAAAGUGAAACUCACAUGAAUUUAAAGGAGCCACGUAUUAAAACAGAUGCUAUAUUUGGAGUCAUUCAUUCCUCACCAAAUUUUACAAAUAAAAUAACAUUUAAGAUUGAAGGGAAUAAAAUGCUUGUUAAAAUUCAUUCCAACAUAGAGCUAUACUAGGUAAUCAUCAAUUGAUAAACAAUAGGCAAUAGAAACAAAUUUACAAGCACAAACUUCAGUUUAGAAGCACAAGUUUACAUAGAAAGAAAGAAAUUGCCUCAAGAAUUUACAUUACAACUUUUAAGAGCAUUGUAAACAACUUUAGUGAGAAACCAGAGUUAUUCUUUCCACAAUUGUUAAGAAUGACACUAUAUGAAAAACAAUUUUAGUAAGAAAGCUAUAAAGGGAUGCAACAUUGCAACAAGUUAAAAAAAACCCAAUUCAUUGAACAUAAGACUGCAAUUGGCUGAAAUUGCAAAAAUCAAACCCAAAUUCUUCAAAAGGGAUGCAACAGGUUUAAAAACCUCAAUUCAUUGAACAUACUAUGUAAAUGGAAAUUUAUAUGGAAGAAGAACUUGACAUGAGUUUUUAUCAACUUACCUUAGUAGAUGAGAGUAAAGACCGUGAAAGUGACAUGAAAGAAGAACUUUAAGAGUGAAGACCAUGAAUGGAGAUGAAAGUGAAGAAGUGAGAAUGGAAUUUAUGCAAUGAUGCUUGAAAAAUGACUUUAGGAGCUUCAUAUGAGGAUAUGGCAUUCACAAUGAAAUCAUUAUAGAAGAAGAAAAGUAGAUUAAUAGACACAUGCCAAUAAAGAAUAAAUUAAGAAGGGAGAUAAAAGUGGUGAAGAAGGGAGAAAGUGAGAAACAGUGAGUGGCGAGAAAGUGAGAAACCCUGAAACCCUUAAUUCAAUUUUUU
This 1674-nucleotide long non-coding RNA is filed under the name Lupinus angustifolius (narrow-leaved blue lupine). Its description in RNAcentral is "long non-coding RNA (LANG_LNC003491)". Lineage: Eukaryota; Viridiplantae; Streptophyta; Magnoliopsida; Fabales; Fabaceae. The record is from RNAcentral.